Caranx melampygus (bluefin trevally) is the source of this 72-nucleotide non-coding RNA. The record is from the annotation of a GenBank genome assembly. Lineage: Eukaryota; Metazoa; Chordata; Actinopteri; Carangiformes; Carangidae.
GGCUCGUUGGUCUAGGGGUGUGAUUCUUGGUUUGGGUAUGAGAGGUCCUGGGUUCAAAUCCCAGAUCAACCC